CUCUCUCUCUCUCUCUCUCCAAUGAGAAAGGACCAUUUCAGCAAGAUUUCAAUUUUACAAUUUCAGUGAGAUUUCAAUUUUUCACAUUAUCAUAAUGGGGAAUACCACCACAAUGGAAGGCUAAAUUUCUGAUACACUAUGUAUCAGUUAAGUCUCAGCCAUCAUUUAAGAACCCAGGGAAGUCACUAAAACUAUUCAAAUCAAUUUCUGAAUAACUUUCUACAAUCACCAAAUUUGGCACCUAAACCAAGCCUAUUUUCUAACAUCUAGACACCUGUUUGUCCAAGGACUGAUAGAGCUUGGGUUUAUGCAAGGCACAAGUGAAAAUAAUUUGCAUGCUCUACAAGAGGUAGCAAAUUUGUAGAAGCUGAUGAAACCCUGAUUUGACAAUGAAAUAUGCAUCUUGCAACAUGUCUGUGGUGGAUGACGCACUAGCAAAUAUCAGACAUGACAAUAUGUAACAAAUAAAGGCAUGUAGAUAUGCUGUAAAACUUUCAAAAAACAAAUCAGUGCUAAUACAAAAAUAAAUAUCAUAUAUGAAUAUAAUAAAGCAAAAUCAUGAAAUGCCAUGACAAAUAAAAAACAAAACAAAAUACUGAAGACUAUCCCAUUGAAAGUGUAACAUAA
Molecule: unclassified non-coding RNA, 627 nt
Filed under: Hevea brasiliensis (rubber tree)
Lineage: Eukaryota; Viridiplantae; Streptophyta; Magnoliopsida; Malpighiales; Euphorbiaceae
Source: RNAcentral